RNAcentral lists this microRNA (21 nucleotides) under Zea mays. RNAcentral describes it as "microRNA miR-3070". The record is from RNAcentral. Lineage: Eukaryota; Viridiplantae; Streptophyta; Magnoliopsida; Poales; Poaceae.
UCAGGAGCACAGUAGUUCAGA